AUGUGGACAGCAGGGCUGGAAUCCGCCAAGUGGUUCAAGAUGUCAGGAGGCUUAGGGAGGGACGCGGGCGGCAUUUCCUGUGCUCGCUUUGAAGAUGUGGGAACAAAGGCGGGAUCGUGGGCGUGGGUAGAGGGGCCCAGGCCUGUCUGGCCUCUGAGCCUGGAUGGGCAAGGCUGGGGGCCUGCAGCGGGGAAUGCCAGUCUGCGGGGCCCGUGGGCCCAGACAGGACCCCGCUCCCUCCUGGCAGGCCGAGGGCCCUGCUGCAGUGAUGACCGCCCUGGGGUGCCCUCCUGGGGCUGUGGGUUGGAGGUUGGCUUCCCAGACCUGCCGACUGUGCUCAGGUCUCCCCUGGAGCCUGUCAGUUACUGCGGCUCCCCUCCGCCUGCCCCGCCUUCCCCGGAGGGCGCUGACCCCAGGUCAUGUGCUGAACCCUCCACGGCGCCUGAUGGGCCACUUUCCCAGCUGCAUGGGGCAGGGAGGGGCUGCCAGGAGAGGGGCCCUCGGAAGUCCUUGCAGCAGCUGCCCUCACGCUGCCCAGUUCCCCAAACCCGCCUCGUGCCAGGCGCUGUUAGCAUCACACGUGUGGCCCCGUCUUCUCUGAGCUGUUGCUGUCACUCAGGUGGGGUUCCUCCCCGUGGGACCCUGGCCCGUGCACUCACUCGGCAGGAAGGUGCCAUUGAAAGAGACAGUGCUGUGGCCAGGUUCAUCAGAGCGUGGAGCCGAAAGACAGCUUCACCCUUGGACGGCAAGGUUUGCGUUGCAGAGCUGACCUCCUGGCAGGGAGCGACUGAGUGGCGAAGCAAGAACGGCACGUGAGAAGCCUCCCAAGCCCUUCCUCUCCCUUGUCUCGGAGGACUGGUGAAGACACACCUGAGUGCAGCACGCAGACUCGCAGCUCCUGGGCCGGCGGGCUGCUCCGGCGGGCCUGGCGCCGCCGUCUCUGCUGGCUGCUGGUUUGUGGGCUCAGCAGUUGCUGUCUUUGCUGUGGACUGCAGCGGCGUCUGGGGCGAGCAAAUUAUCCCUGAACUUCAGACGCUGCGCAUACGUUUUCAUGGGCAGGGUAUUUUAGUGAGCUUUUCCCUGAAGAAUAACAUGUAUGCAGACAAGGUCACAGAUUAUCAACUUGCAGCCUGACGCAUUUGAGAAGCGAGCACACCCAUGGAACCACGCCCAGACGAAGGCACCGAACAGACUCCCACCAGCCCUCGGUGCCCCUCCCUUAUCCUCCCCCGCCAAAGGCUACCACUCUCUGACUUCCGUCACCAUCAGUGGGUUUUGUCUGGGUUUGUGUUUUACCUAAACGAAUUCAUACGGUGCCAGCUCUUUCGUGUGUGGUUCUUUUGCUCCAAUUGUAUUUGUGAAGUUCCUCCAGGUUACGACAGGCAGAGGUCUAUCCUUUCUUCACUGCUGUCCCCCUGGAUGACUAUAGAAUUGUUUGAAAGUAUUUCUCUGCAGUGUUGUCAGCGGACGAUUAUGUUGAGAGUUCAGGGCCGUGAUGAAUGCCCUUGCCGUGCCUCGGUGCCAGUGUCCUUUUGUGAACAUAUGCAAGCAUUUCUGGGAAAGGAAUCACAGGGACGCAGCAUUUCCAACUUUGGAAAAUACCAUCUACCGGCUUUCUAAACUACAGUACCAAUUCACACUUCAGGGAAAGCAUAUGAGCACUCCCCUUGCUCAGCAUUCAUGAGAACCUUUUCGUCUGAGCCAUUCUGGUGAUCAUCGGGGUUUAAAUUUGCAUUUCCAUGAUGACUAAGGAUAUGGAGCACUUUUCUCCACGUGUUUAUUUGCUGUUCUCUGAGUGCCUUUUUGAGUCUUUUGCCCGUUUAAAAAAUGAGCUGUCUCUGCACAUAGAUGUUUAUAGCAGCUUUAUUCAUAAUUGCCAAGACUGGAAGCAACCAAGAUGUCCUUCAGUGCUGGAUAAAUGAACCAUGACACAUCCAGACAGUGGAAUAUUACUCAGCACUAAAAAGAAAUGAGCCUUCAAGCUGUGAAAAGACACGGAGGAGGCCUGAAUGCAUGUGCCUGAGUGAGAGGAGAAGCCAGUUUGGAAAGGCUCCCUGUGGGCUUUUUCCAUCUCGAUGGCAUUCUGAAAAGGCACAACUGUGGAGAGAGUAGGAAGAGCCGUGGUUGUCAGGGGCCAGGGCUGGGAGGCGGGACUGGGUGGCGCUCGGGAUUUUGGGGUGAGCUGACGUGGUGCGAGGCUGUCAUGGUGGAGAGCCUGUGCUCUGGCCUUUGAGGAGGGCUGAGCACCCCGGGAGAGGUGGCAAGGAGGUGGCCUUGUACCCUGCAGCUCUGGUGCCUGGCGUGGUAAUUGAGACACUGCAAUCGUGAGGCAUGAGGCCGUCUGCACUCCUGUGAGCAGAGUGGGCUGGACCGUGUGUGUCCAGGACCCCUGCCCCGGAUGCAGAGAGGACUCCAUUCGCCUGCUGUGUGAGUGGCUGGUUGAGCUCUCGGUUGCCCAGCAUCACCCCUCUGCACCUGAAACUGGCCCCCUACCUCUCCUGGCUUCGCUGUCCCCCCCGGGUUGGCUGCAAGCUGGGUCAGCUUCCUGGAGCUGGGGCGGGGGGCAGCCGAGGACCUGGCAUCCAGAGGGUGCUUCCCCAAAGGAUGUUCGCUUCUGAGCCCUGGCCGUACCCUGUGGACAAGUCACACAGCCAGCCAGCCAUGUCUUCUCACUCUUGCGCAGAAGCCAGGCCACAUGGGAGCUGCAGCUCCAAGGCCCUCCAGAGGGCACACCGCUCGCCAGCCGCUCGCGGGUAAAAAUCUGGCCCCCUUGUCUAUGUGAUGCUCUCCCUCCUCAAGGCCCACCCCUGCAGGCGACCCCUCCCCGCUGCACCAGGCUCAGCUCUGUCCGGCAUCACCUCCGCUUGGUGGUGUCCUGGGGGGCAGCACCGUGCCCUCCCACUUGGCACCAGACCUCAAACGUCUGAGCAGCACUGAUUGAGUGAAAAGGGAAGGAAGUGUCCCCAGAUCCUGAAGAAGACUAGGCACCGGAUGGAAGAAGGCGUUAGUAGCAUAUAGAACGGAGGAGGCUUUGGGUCCAGAAUAUGUAAAGAGCGCUCUCCAAGCAAUCACAAAACAGCAGGCGACAGGCCAGGAAAGCAGGCAGAGCCCUGGCCGGCAGUUCAGAGAGAGGAUGCCAAACGGCCAUGAGCCUCACAGAAACGUGCCUGGUCUCAUAGCAAACAGGGAGGUGUGUGUGAGCCACGGUGAACCCAGACGCAGUGGCGGGUGGGCAAAGAGGCCCCACAGACGAGGCCGGCGGUGGGAGGAGGGGAGCCUGCAGACGCUGAGUGCAAACUUGGGGGAGCCGCUCUGGGAGGCGUUCUAACAGCGUGGAGUCCGCCCCCACCCCCGUGCACCCCCGAGCCGUCAAGGCGUAGGUAGUGGCACCAGGACACGCGGCAUUAGUGGUCAUGCUGGCCUUGCUCCGGAGCGCCGGGGACUGGGAAGCACCAGAUGGCCGUUAGGGUGGAAUCAGAAACGCGGGGCCCAGGCGUCGCUGCACGGAGGAGACGGGCUGUGUCCACAGCCGCGGCCCAGGUGCCCAGGAGGCAGGCGCGGGCCCCUCCGUCUGCCCCCCUGUCCUGGGCUGGGGGGUGCUCUGCGGCUUCUCCGGGCUCACGAACAGUGGGGAAACCGAGUCUUCCUUCCAAGGCAGCGAGAGCACAGGAUUCCCAAGGUCCAGGAAAGCGAGCUCAGCCCAGCAGCAUCACCCCUGCGGUCGUUCACGUUUGGUUUGCAAAUAUCAUUUUACAUUUAAAUGAGUUUGAAUAGUACAAUAAACCUGAUUUAAGUA
This 3796-nucleotide long non-coding RNA is filed under the name Bos indicus x Bos taurus (hybrid cattle). Its description in RNAcentral is "lncRNA (ENSBIXG00000005078.1)". The record is from RNAcentral. Lineage: Eukaryota; Metazoa; Chordata; Mammalia; Artiodactyla; Bovidae.